UGGGGUGUGGCCAAGCGGUAAGGCAUCGGAUUUUGGUUCCGACAUGCGCUGGUUCGAAUCCAGCCACCCCAA
RNAcentral lists this transfer RNA (72 nucleotides) under Myxococcales bacterium LLY-WYZ-16_1. RNAcentral describes it as "tRNA-Gln". It matches the Rfam family "tRNA". Rfam says of the family: Transfer RNA (tRNA) molecules are approximately 80 nucleotides in length. Their secondary structure includes four short double-helical elements and three loops (D, anti-codon, and T loops). Further hydrogen bonds mediate the characteristic L-shaped molecular structure. tRNAs have two regions of fundamental functional importance: the anti-codon, which is responsible for specific mRNA codon recognition, and the 3' end, to which the tRNAs corresponding amino acid is attached (by aminoacyl-tRNA synthetases). tRNAs cope with the degeneracy of the genetic code in two manners: having more than one tRNA (with a specific anti-codon) for a particular amino acid; and 'wobble' base-pairing, i.e. permitting non-standard base-pairing at the 3rd anti-codon position. Lineage: Bacteria; Pseudomonadati; Myxococcota; Myxococcia; Myxococcales. The record is from RNAcentral.